GAGUUUGAUCCUGGCUCAGAACGAACGCUGGCGGCGUGGAUAAGACAUGCAAGUCGAACGGGAUUUUCUUUGGUAGCAAUACCGAAGAAAGUCUAGUGGCGAACGGGUGCGUAACACGUGGGCAAUCUGCCUUAAAGUGGGGGAUAGCUCGGCGAAAGCCGGAUUAAUACCGCAUGUGAUCAGGGGAGACAUCUUCCCAAAAUCAAAGUCGGGGCAACCUGACGCUUUUUGAGGAGCCCGCGGCCUAUCAGCUAGUUGGUGAGGUAACGGCUCACCAAGGCUUUGACGGGUAGCUGGUCUGAGAGGACGACCAGUCACACUGGAACUGAGACACGGUCCAGACACCUACGGGUGGCAGCAGUCGAGAAUUUUUCUCAAUGGGGGAAACCCUGAAGGAGC
RNAcentral lists this ribosomal RNA (399 nucleotides) under uncultured actinomycete. Its description in RNAcentral is "bacterial SSU rRNA". It matches the Rfam family "Bacterial small subunit ribosomal RNA", at positions 9 to 392 of the family's 1533-position model. Lineage: Bacteria; Bacillati; Actinomycetota; Actinomycetes; Actinomycetales. The record is from RNAcentral.